UACGUAGGGGGCUAGCGUUGUCCGGAAUCAUUGGGCGUAAAGAGCGUGUAGGCGGUCCGGUAAGUCCGCUGUGAAAGUCGGGGGCUCAACCCUCGAAUGCCGGUGGAAACUGUCGGGCUGGAGUCCGGAAGAGGCGAGUGGAAUUCCUGGUGUAGCGGUGAAAUGCUUAGAUAUCGUCAAGAACACCGAUAGUGAAGACAGCUUACUAGGCUACAACUGACGCUGAGGCACGAAAGUGUGGGGAUCAAACAGG
RNAcentral lists this ribosomal RNA (253 nucleotides) under uncultured bacterium. RNAcentral's name for it is "partial 16S ribosomal RNA". It matches the Rfam family "Bacterial small subunit ribosomal RNA", at positions 524 to 776 of the family's 1533-position model. The record is from RNAcentral.